CAGACCUCACGAUUCAUUUGAACACAGGUGCACAGUCGAGUUAGCCCGGAUGCGACCAUAACUACCAUAACACUCGUUAAGGACGCUACUUAACGUCUUCACUAAACAAAACAAUCCAUGGUCCCUGAGCAUGCCGUCGUUUCCCCUCAGGCCCAUUAUCAGAUCCCCUCCGUAGGCUCCCGGCAGCUGCAGUUAUUGUGGAAGACUCGACUUUUACAGCCUCAUGAUGUCUGUGACAACACCAGCUUUUAUGAAGCGGGGCGUGGCUCCUAGAUCCCAUUCACCUGCUUAUCUACACACCUGACAGUCAUCACCUAUGAUCAUCUGUCUCUCCUGCCUCAGUAUAAAGCCCCGUCUCAAUCUCCACUCUUCGCCAGUUCAUUGUUGAUCCCUUUUUGCCCUGCCAUGGUCACAUGCCACACAGCCACUACGCUCAACCCCUGUCCUCCUCUCGCCUCACAUGGCUUUUUUUGGAAUGCCCCCCGCCUCGAAACCAAACCUUCCUCCCGGUCUCCUGGUCUGCAUUGUGGGUCCUGCUCAGUGUAAUGUUUGAAUGAAGCAUGACAACUAUGACGUUUUUAUUAAUUUUUGAACAACAUACUAUACCACUGUUUCUCAAAUGGGGGUACGUGUAACCCUGGGGGUACAUGGAGGUAUUGCAAUGAGUAUGCGAGAUUCAAAAAAAAUAAUUAUUUUGAAAAAUACCUCCUAAAAAUAAUUAUGUUAUAAAAAGUUCAGUAAAAAUAUAAAUCUAAGUUCAUAAACUGAAUUUUGUACUCACUAUUAAAUUUCAAAAUCUUUAAAACAAACCAUGAUGCUCCCCAAACUAGGAUUGCUUGAUGCAACCUGUCAAAUGCAUCACCUGUCGAUCAAUCACUUGCAGCCAUCAAGACACAAACAAUUUAGUUGUGAUUGAAGCGCAGCAGCAAUGUUGCUGAAAACACUGAGAGACAAGUGACAAACAAAGCAAAACCAGAACCGACGAAAUACAAAAAAAUAUGCAUAUGCAUAAAUAUGCAUAUAAAAAUAUG
This is a long non-coding RNA of Plectropomus leopardus (leopard coralgrouper), 1031 nucleotides long. RefSeq lists it as uncharacterized. Lineage: Eukaryota; Metazoa; Chordata; Actinopteri; Perciformes; Serranidae. The record is from RefSeq and is a predicted model, not a curated record.